Molecule: long non-coding RNA, 980 nt
Organism: Oncorhynchus tshawytscha (Chinook salmon)
Lineage: Eukaryota; Metazoa; Chordata; Actinopteri; Salmoniformes; Salmonidae
Source: Ensembl
UGGUGGUGUAGUGGUGUUGAAGUAGAGGUGUUGUUGUGUAGUAGAGGUGUAGUGGUGGUGGUGUAGAGGUGUAGUGGUGGUGUUGUAGAGGUGUAGUGGAUGUGUAGAGAUGUAGUGGAGGUGUAGUGGUGGUGUAGUGGUGGUGUAGCAGUGUAGUGGUAUAGUGGUGGUGUAGUUGAGAUGUAGUGGAGGUGUAGUGGUGGUGUAGUUGAGAUGUAGUGGAGGUGUAGUGGAGGUGUAGUGGUGGUGUAGUGGUGGUGUAGCGGUGUAGUGGUGUAGUGGUGGUGUAGUGGUGGUGUAGUGGUGUAGUGGUGGUGUUGGGGUGGUGUAAGGUUUGGUGGUGGUGUAGUGGUGGUGUAGAGGUUUAGUGUUGGUGUAGUAAAGGUGUAGUACAUGUGUUGCGGUGGUCUAGUGGUGGUGUAGUGUUGGUGUUGUGGUGGUGUAGAGGUGUAGUGGUGGUGUAGUAGAUGUGUAGUGUAUGUGUAGUGGUGUUGUAGUAGAGGUGUAGUGGAGGUGUAGUGGUGUAGUGGAGGUGUAGAGGUGUUUUGGUGGUGUGGAGUUUGUGUAGUGGUGUUGUGGUGGUGCAGUGGAGGUGUAUUGGGGUGUAGAGGUGUAGUAGAGGUGCAGUAGAGGUGUAGUGGUGGUGUUGUAGAGGUGUUGUGGUGGUGUAGUAGAGGUGUAGUGGUGGUGUUGUAGAGGUGUCGUGGUGGUGUAGUAGAGGUGUAGUGGUGGUGCAGUGGUGGUGUAGUGGUGCUGUAGUAGAGGUGUAGUAGAGGUGUAGUGGUGGUGUUGUAGAGGUGUAGUAGUGGUGUAGUAGAGGUGGGGGGGGCUGUAGUAGAGGUGUAGUUGUCUAGUGUAGUGGUGGUGUCGUUGUGAAGUUGUCUAAUAUAGUGGUGUUGUAGGUGUGUAGUGUAGUGGUGGUGCAGUUGUGCAGUUGCCUAUUGUAGUGGUGGUGUAGUUGUGUAGUUGUCUAUUUUUGU